RNAcentral lists this ribosomal RNA (923 nucleotides) under uncultured archaeon. RNAcentral's name for it is "bacterial SSU rRNA". It matches the Rfam family "Archaeal small subunit ribosomal RNA", at positions 1 to 922 of the family's 1478-position model. The record is from RNAcentral.
UUCCGGUUGAUCCCGCCGGAGGCCACUGCUAUGGGGGUCCGACUAAGCCAUGCGAGUCAUGGGGCGCCUUGCGCGCACCGGCGGACGGCUCAGUAACACGUCGGUAACCUACCCUCGGGAGGGGGAUAACCCCGGGAAACUGGGGCUAAUCCCCCAUAGGCCUGAGGUACUGGAAGGUCCUCAGGCCGAAAGGGGCUCUGCCCGCCCGAGGAUGGGCCGGCGGCCGAUUAGGUAGUUGGUGGGGUAACGGCCCACCAAGCCGAAGAUCGGUACGGGCCAUGAGAGUGGGAGCCCGGAGAUGGACACUGAGACACGGGUCCAGGCCCUACGGGGCGCAGCAGGCGCGAAACCUCCGCAAUGCGGGCAACCGCGACGGGGGGACCCCCAGUGCCGUGGCAUCGCCACGGCUUUUCCGGAGUGUAAAGAGCUCCGGGAAUAAGGGCUGGGCAAGGCCGGUGGCAGCCGCCGCGGUAAUACCGGCGGCCCGAGUGGUGGCUGCUAUUAUUGGGCCUAAAGCGUCCGUAGCCGGGCCCGUAAGUCCCUGGCGAAAUCCCACGGCUCAACCGUGGGGCUUGCUGGGGAUACUGCGGGCCUUGGGACCGGGAGAGGCGGAGGGUACUCCUGGGGUAGGGGUGAAAUCCUAUAAUCCCAGGAGGACCGCCAGUGGCGAAGGCGCUCCGCUGGAACGGGUCCGACGGUGAGGGACGAAGGCCAGGGGAGCGAACCGGAUUAGAUACCCGGGUAGUCCUGGCUGUAAAGGAUGCGGGCUAGGUGUCGGGCGAGCUUCGUGCUCGCCCGGUGCCGAAGGGAAGCCGUUAAGCCCGCCGCCUGGGGAGUACGGCCGCAAGGCUGAAACUUAAAGGAAUUGGCGGGGGAGCACUACAAGGGGUGGAGCGUGCGGUUUAAUUGGAAUCAACGCCGGA